This 263-nucleotide ribosomal RNA is filed under the name uncultured bacterium. RNAcentral's name for it is "partial 16S ribosomal RNA". It matches the Rfam family "Bacterial small subunit ribosomal RNA", at positions 524 to 786 of the family's 1533-position model. The record is from RNAcentral.
UACGUAGGUGGCGAGCGUUAUCCGGAAUUACUGGGUGUAAAGGGCGCGCAGGCGGCAUUAAAAGUCAGGUGUGAAAGCCCAAGGCUUAACUUUGGACGGUCAUCUGAAACUUUAGUGCUUGAGUGUCAGAGGGGAAAGUGGAAUUCCUAGUGGAGCGGUAAAAUGCGCAGAGAUUAGGAGGAACACCGGUGGCGAAGGCGACUUUCUGGCUGACAACUGACGCUGAGGCGCGAAAGCGUGGGGAGCAAACAGGAUUAGAUACC